Molecule: ribosomal RNA, 482 nt
Filed under: uncultured bacterium
Lineage: Bacteria
Description: partial 16S ribosomal RNA
Rfam family: Bacterial small subunit ribosomal RNA
Source: RNAcentral
GACGAACGCUGGCGGCGUGCUUAACACAUGCAAGUCGAACGAUGAAGCCCAGCUUGCUGGGUGGAUUAGUGGCGAACGGGUGAGUAACACGUGGGCAACCUGCCCCAAACUCUGGGAUAACUCCUCGAAAGAGGUGCUAAUACCGGAUACGAACUAGACAGACAUCUGUACUAGUUGGAAAGUUUUUCGGUUUGGGAUGGGCCCGCGGCCUAUCAGCUUGUUGGUGAGGUAACGGCUCACCAAGGCUACGACGGGUAACCGGCCUGAGAGGGCGACCGGUCACACUGGGACUGAGGCAGUGCCCAGACUCCUACGGGAGGCAGCAGUGGGGAAUAUUGCGCAAUGGGCGAAAGCCUGACGCAGCGACGCCGCGUGAGGGAUGAAGGUCUUCGGAUCGUAAACCUCUUUCAGUAGGGACGAAGCGAAAGUGACGGUACCUAAAGAAGAGGCACCGGCUACCUACGUGCCAGCCGCCGCCGUAA